This 1307-nucleotide long non-coding RNA is filed under the name Numida meleagris (helmeted guineafowl). Its description in RNAcentral is "lncRNA (ENSNMEG00000002026.1)". The record is from RNAcentral. Lineage: Eukaryota; Metazoa; Chordata; Aves; Galliformes; Numididae.
AUGGGACACAGAGCCACCACCCCACAACGAGAUGCCACCACCCCAUGGGACAGAGCCACCACCCCACAACGAGAUGCCACCACACCAUGGGACAUGAUGCCACCGCCCCAUGGGACACACCACGAUGCCACCACCCCAUGGGACAGGGCCACCGCCCCAUGGGACAUCAAGCCACCAUCCCACAACGUGAUGCCACCACCCCAUGGGACACACCACGAUGCCACCACCCCAUGGGACAUCAAGCCACCAUCCCACAACGCGAUGCCACCACCCCAUGGGACACGAUGCCACCACCCCACAACGAGAUGCCACCGCCCCAUGGGACAGAGCCACCACCCCACAACGAGAUGCCACCGCCCCAUGGGACACACCACAAUGCCACCACCCCAUGGGACAGGGCCACCGCCCCAUGAGACAUCAAGCCACCAUCCCACAACGCAAUGCCACCACCCCAUGGGACAUGAUGCCACCACCCCAUGGGACACACCACGAUGCCACCACCCCAUGGGACACACCACGAUGCCACCACCCCAUGGGACACAGGGCCACCAUCCCACAAUGAGAUGCCACCACCCCACAACGAGAUGCCACCACCCCACAACGAGAUGCCACCACCCCAUGGGACACAGAGCCACCACCCCACAACGCGAUGCCAUUGCCCCACAACGCGAUGCCACCGCCCCAUGGGACAUCAAGCCACCACCCCACAACGAGUUGCUACCACCCCAUGGAACAUGAUGCCACCACCCCACGGGACACAGAGCCACCACCCCAUGGCACACGAUGCCACCACCCCAUGGCACACCCCACGGAGCCACCCCCCCACCCCCCCAAGGGUGAGGGCAGCGCCCGGUUCCCGCGCAGCCGCCGUCCCCGUACCGGUGUAGCCGAUGUUCUCGAAGCUGAGCAGGCUGAAGAUGCUGUUGUAGAGCUGCAUCUCCUUCUUGCGGCUCUGGUCCAUCUCGUCCAGGAUCUCCAUCAGCUCGUUGCCCGUCUUGGUCGGGUGCGUGCACUCGGCCUCGUGCACCGUCAGCUCGUGGAACGGGCCCUGCCACGGGCACCCGAUGCGCUUGUACUUGCACUGCGUCACCCUGAGGGAAGAGGGGGGGACGGCGGGGUCAGCACGGGGCCAAAAGGGUCCCCAAAGUGCCACCAGGUCUUGGUAGGGUGGCUAUGGAGGGAACACGCUGGCCUCCAGGACACCACGUGGCCAUAAAUGUCCCCAGAGUGCCACCAGGUCAUGGUUACAAUGGCUAUGGAGGGAACAGGUUGGCCUCCAGGACACCACGUGGCCAUAAAUGUCCCCA